Molecule: ribosomal RNA, 506 nt
Filed under: uncultured bacterium
Lineage: Bacteria
Description: partial 16S ribosomal RNA
Rfam family: Bacterial small subunit ribosomal RNA
Source: RNAcentral
AUUGAACGCUGGCGGCAGGCCUAACACAUGCAAGUCGAACGGUAACAGGAAGAAGCUUGCUUCUUUGCUGACGAGUGGCGGACGGGUGAGUAAUGUCUGGGAAACUGCCUGAUGGAGGGGGAUAACUACUGGAAACGGUAGCUAAUACCGCAUAACGUCGCAAGACCAAAGAGGGGGACCUUCGGGCCUCUUGCCAUCGGAUGUGCCCAGAUGGGAUUAGCUAGUUGGUGGGGUAACGGCUCACCAAGGCGACGAUCCCCAGCUGGUCUGAGGGGAGGACGAGCCACACUGGAACUGAGACGCGGUCCAGACUCCUCCGGGAGGCAGCAGUGGGGAAUAUUGCACGAUGGGCGCAAGCCUGAUGCAGCCAUGCCGCGUGUAUGAAGAAGGCCUUCGGGUUGUAAAGUACUUUCAGCGGGGAGGAAGGGAGUAAAGUUAAUACCUUUGCUCAUUGACGUUACCCGCAGAAGAAGCACCGGCUAACUCCGUGCCAGCCGCCGCGGUAA